Crotalus tigris (Tiger rattlesnake) is the source of this 4547-nucleotide long non-coding RNA. RefSeq lists it as uncharacterized. NCBI's taxonomy places the organism in Eukaryota, Metazoa, Chordata, Lepidosauria, Squamata, Viperidae. The transcript has 2 exons. The record is from RefSeq and is a predicted model, not a curated record.
CAUCGAUGCAAUAAACAUGAAUUUGAAUAAACUGCAAGAGACAGUGGAGGAACGGGGGAGAGGGGGAAAGAAGCUGGCAUGCUAUAGUCCAUAGUGUUGCCAAGAGGUAGACAUGACUAAGUGACUGAACAACAACAAUAUUGGUUUAUAGCAUUAUGUGCUUUAUGAAAGAAUGGGUCUCCUGCACCAAGUAGCAAAAGCAUACUUUUCCAACUUUGGGUUAUCAUGGGACAACUUCUCUCAUCCUUUUUCAAGUUCAGCAGUGAUACACCAUUAAAGCAAAGAGGGGGAGAAAGGAAAGUAAAAUGACUUUCUUGGGGUGAAGUUACAGUAUAGACCAAAUUCAAGAAGACAGUGCCACCCUUGUUCAUUGUUCCGAUCCUAUGCCAAAUGGCAUGUAAAAACGCACAUUUGAGGAGAGGAAUUUUAAUGGUUUUCUCAAACAAUUUACAUUAAGUGACUAAGUAUUUUACGUGUCUCUUGUGUAAUAAGCAACUCUGAGUGUCUCUUCUGGAACAGAAAGAAACGCAAAGCUAUAUGGACAUUCGGAACAUUGCACUUACAUCCUACAUAAAAGGAUGAAAUACCAUUUUCCCUCACAGUUGCCACUUGCAUCCUCGUUACUGAGCCUUUUCCAGACUGGUGACUCCUCCAAGAUAUGUUGGAAAUAUAACCCAAUAGUCACUUAACUGAUUAUGAGGUGUUUUGUAGCAUUUUUUUUUUUCUGACUAACACAUUUCAUUCAAAGGCAUGAAUUUUUGUGAGAGGCAGUUCACAUCAUCAGAUGCAAUUGAGAGGCUAAGCUAAAUGGGAGGAGGGAAAGAUAGGUUGGUUAGGCAGAUGUAGGUUAUUUGUAAAAUAUGAUCUCCAAGGUCCCUUCCAACUUUAUUAUUAUUAUUAUUAUUACAUGUAUGUAGUAUGUUAAAAACCCAAUGUGUUUGUUAAGAACUUCUAAGAUUGACAGAAACUUUUUGAUGAAUUCAAAAUGGAUGGUGCUAUGAGAGUCCCACUUUUCUAAAAUAAUCUCUUUGAUGGACAUUUAUGGAGGCUCUGAAGGGACAAAAUGCUCUGAAACUGUCUAUUUCCUCUUUUGACAAACUUCUGCCUACUAAUUCUUUUGCUGACUUGUCCUACUUAGAAUCCAGAGAGAUGUUACUGGCAGAUGAUGGCACAUAAGACAUUGGAGAAGACCAUGUGAAUCUUAUAAACUCAUCAGCCAGAAGUAACUAUAAUGUUUAAGAUGUCUGAAUGAACCGGAAGACAGAAGAGCAACAAUUAAGAGGGGAAAUGUCAAGAAAAUGCCUGCUAAAGCAUGGUAACAUCAAUCAAUCCUCUCGUCACAGGGACAGAUGAUGCACAUAUUCAUUAGAAGAUGAAAAAAAAAAUAUAUAAAUAGGAUUUUGACACUGGGAAGUGGUGUGAGGGCAAAUGAGAACUGCUGUGCAGUAGCAAAACUUCUGUUUCUGAUUUUCUGUACUGGCUGCUUUCUCUGACCUCAGCAUUGAAUCAGACUUUUUUCAAGGCUGUGGGCUGCAGCUGUCUAUCUUCGGUACAGAUUUACUGGUGUCUCAGGAGCCCCCUUUUAUUCCAACAGAACUGUUUUGUUAGGAAACAAUCUCAAAAAGGCAAAUUGCAGGUAAAGGAAAUUUAUUCUUUGUAAAUUGGUCCCAUCUGAAAUUACUUGUUCAAAGGAGGCAGGGAGAAGGAGGAAGAAAGAAAUAAACUUUCCAAAUUUAGCUGCCCGUAUUUGCAUGCAAGGUAGCGAUUAGCCUGCAUGGUUGCCCUUCAGCUUAACAUGCGGAGCAGACCUUGAAGUUUCCAAAUGUCUCGAUGUACGUUUCUUUUUCCCCUCUUUAAAAUUUUCUGGGGUUACAUUAUGCUGGUCUGUGACUACAGUACUGAAUUGAUCUGAGGGUAUAUUUGUGAUGAGGGUAUUUAUGUAUAGAUAACACCCAGAUAACAAAGACACAUACAGAUCUUAGUAGUUGAUACUUUCCAGCAGACAUUUACAGAGUUAACAUAUUCCACGAUCCAUGCAAAAUUUGUGUUUUUGGGUUGACCUUGACUUUAUGCAGCAAAAGAUCACAUCGCUUUAUGAUUGAGGUUGGUUUUGUUCUGGCUGUUAUUUAAAAUGCAGUGCAUAAAAAAACUAUUCAGGAACAGAGGAAACUAUGUACAUUUUGAAAAACGGAUCAAUGAGAAAGUAGCAAUUCCUAUAGCAGCAAAGCUGAACCCAUAGGGUAAAAGGUGGAAGAUCUCAAUCUUCCACUUUGGUAGGAAAAUGGGUCCAGCCAUCUUCCUACCUUGGUGCAAUGAUCAGUAUUAUUCUUUCUUCUGCCACACUAAUAUUCGGGAGAAUCCUUGCCCUGGCUUCUUCUUCCUUAAUAGUUGCCCUGAGACUGACAGAAGAUCUCACCAUUUGGUCACUCUUACUUUCUAGUAACUGGGAGUAAUAACAGCAACAACAAUAACAGCAGAUAAACUCCACAGCAUCACCUCUUGACCCGUGUAUACCUCAGAGGCAUAUGUCGCCAGAGAAAACAGGUCCUCCCUAGUUCCUUUGUUGCAGAGUUCAAACCAAAGCACAAGCUAUCAUUUAAAAUGCAACUUUGUGAAAAACAAGAAAAGGGAAAAUGUAAACUUUCUUUUGAACUUUAAGGUAGUCACUUGCAAAACUAAAUAGGGCGGGCAGAAUAAGGCAAAAUCAUAGACCUCACAAAGUACUAAAAUACCAAGAACUGAGUUUGCUUUACACAAUACAAUAGUUUUCAGAUACUAAGGUUACUCAGCAGGCACAGUUGUCAGAAACAAGAUAUCACAGUCAAUAAAGCAGAACAGCACACAAAACAAAGAACAGAGCCUUGCCUAAUGCAUCCUUGGCAUUGAAGGAUAUCUUUCCCUGUUUGCUGUUCCUAGAUAAUCCCUGAUUCAAGAAGACUGCAACUUUAACUCAGAAACCAUGGAACAAUUUAGCUCAGCUCCUGGGUUGCCCAGAGGCUUCUGGAGAUCUGAUCCAGAUUUCCCUUCUCCUCCAUUCCCCGGAGCUGUGUUUUUCAACCUUGGCAACUUUUAAGAUGGGUGGACUUCAACUCCCAGAAUUCCUCAGGCAUAUAUCUUAAAGUUGCCAAGGUUGAAAAGCAUCACAUGGCUGGCUCAGGAAUUCUGGGAGUUGAAGUCCACGAGUCAUAAAAGAGCCAAGGUUGCCUACCCCUGUUCUAGAGAGAAAGCAGCUUCACAUCACUGGAGUACUACUGUUUUUCGAAGCCAUAUGUUUUUUCAUUCUCCAUCUCUCCCCGAGGCUCUCAUCAGUCCGCAUUCAUCCAGCCUACUUCAACCAUUUUCUGCUUUUCUUUUUCCAGCUAGGUCUUUCAGUGAUCUCAGCCUCCCCUGCCUCAAGAUCAAGACUUUUGGACCAGAAAUAGGAGACUGAGGAAAUCUCUUCCAGAGCAUGCCCAAGCAAGCCUCUUGUCUUUUCCCUCUCCUUUGUGAGGAAAGGAUUUCAAAAUGACUAAACUUUUAUUCCCUGCAGCCAAAAGUGAUGGGCUCUGUGUGUAUGGGCUAUGGGGCAUUUUUUGACUUGGGAAGCAAAGACGUUGCUUUCCUGUCUGAAUAAGAUUCAAAUGAUCAGACAUGACUGAGUGAGUGUGGAGGGCUGGAUUUGCCUGCCUUUCCUACCUGAACCAAAUGAUUGACUGAAUGGCUCACCUAUUCACUACACUAACUUAUAUUGUUGCUUUACAUCUUUUUCCAGCCUGUCAGCUGAAGACAUUUUGACACUCCAGGCAAAUAACAAGUUGAGCCCUUCCCUCCUUUCGGUGUAAAGAAGGCAGCUAGUCUGAUUUUGAACUGUGGGAACUGCACUGACAGCUACAGUUGCUUAGGGCAGAACUGUCACUUAUGUCAACAGCCAACAAGUGCUAAAUAUCUGUUAAACUGUGAGAGAAGUGGGAAAAAGAAAUGCUGUACGGGCUAUAUAGAAAUGCUAUAGCAUGGGUCUCCUCCGCUCCAUGUUGACAGAAGGCACUCAACUCUAUAAAGUGGCUUCAUCAUAGCAUACAGUAAACGCUCUUGUCUAUCCAUAGCAUGUUAAGUACUGGGGCAGCUUCCACUGAGCCUGAGCUUUAUUUCUGUAAAAUAAAUCCUAGAAAUUGAAAUGGAACUGUGAAUGCCAUUGGCUGAGGGAUAGAAGAAGCAGGUGACUCCAAAGCAGAAGGAGGAGGAAGAGAGGCCCCAAAAUCAGAAGACUCAAUGUGAGAAAAUGUAUGUUGGAUGGAACUGGAGGAAGAUGGAGGAGAGAGGAUCUGUGUUGAUCUCAGAAGCAGAAACCGGAUGAUGCUCACCUGUAGAUUUUAAAUAGCCGACUAUGUUUCGGCUAUGGGUCUCAUUUCUGGAUACUUGUCAGGCUGAGGGUUAAGAAUUAGCCAACCAGCAUCUUUGGUACACAUUUGUUCUAAAUUGCACACACAGCCACACUGUAAAUGUGAUACUCCUUAGAAGCCUAUUUGUAGUAGACCUCACCAGUAAAAUUUAGCCAUGCAUGUACAAGA